Cottoperca gobio is the source of this 1748-nucleotide long non-coding RNA. RefSeq lists it as uncharacterized. NCBI's taxonomy places the organism in Eukaryota, Metazoa, Chordata, Actinopteri, Perciformes, Bovichtidae. The transcript has 3 exons. The record is from RefSeq and is a predicted model, not a curated record.
GUCCCCGUCCACCUGCAAGGCAAGCAGACAGGAAGGAGAAUCUCUGGACGCCAGGCAGAGGGCGCAAGGAAGCCUGCAGCAUGCAGACGGUGUCCCUGCUGUAGAGACAACCAGGUGCCAGUUGUAAAGCAAAAGCGCCAGCGCUCUCCUGCUUCUGCAGACCUUCCCCAGAAGAGGAAGCAGACCGCCGUGGCCCCCAGACCCACACUGCUGCACUGCACCUUGACAAACCUCUAAAGAUACAGAACCGCUUAGUCGAGGAGUACCAGCAGCUCUACCAUGAAGCUGUAAAUCAUAUGCUGAGGUUCAAGAGCAAUCUGCAAUCUGCAACCACCACCUCCACCUGCAGGUUCUGGCAGACAGCUGAGACAAAACCUCCACCUACAGCCUCUGUAAGCAACCUGCAGGCAGCGCCUCCACCUGGAGAUUCUGGCAGACAGCUGAGACAAAACCUCCACCUACAGCCGCUGUCAGCAAUCUGCAGGCAGCGCCUCCACCUGCAGAUUCUGGCAGACAGCUGAGACAAAACCUCCACCUACAGCCUCUGUAAGCAACCUGCAGGCAGCGCCUCCACCUGGAGAUUCUGGCAGACAGCUGAGACAAAACCUCCACCUACAGCCGCUGUCAGCAAUUUGCAGGCAGCGCCUCCACCUGCAGAUUCUGGCAGACAGCUGAGACAAAACCUCCACCUACAGCCGCUGUCAGCAAUCUGCAGGCAGCGCCUCCACCUGCAGAUUCUGGCAGACAGCUGAGACAAAACCUCCACCUACAGCCUCUGUAAGCAACCUGCAGGCAGCGCCUCCACCUGGAGAUUCUGGCAGACAGCUGAGACAAAACCUCCACCUACAGCCUCUGUAAGCAACCUGUAGGCAGCGCCUCCACCUGGAGAUUCUGGCAGACAGCUGAGACAAAACCUCCACCUACAGCCUCUGUAAGCAACCUGCAGGCAGCGCCUCCACCUGGAGAUUCUGGCAGACAGCUGAGACAAAACCUCCACCUACAGCCUCUGUAAGCAACCUGCAGGCAGCGCCUCCACCUGGAGAUUCUGGCAGACAGCUGAGACAAAACCUCCACCUACAGCCGCUGUCAGCAAUCUGCAGGCAGCGCCUCCACCUGCAGAUUCUGGCAGACAGCUGAGACAAAACCUCCACCUACAGCCUCUGUCAGCAACCUGCAACCACCACCUCCACCUGCAGAUUCUGGCAGACAGCUGAGACAAAACCUCCAGCUACAGCCUCUGUCAACAACCUGCAACCACCACCUCCACCUGCAGAUUCUGGCAGACAGCUGAGACAAAACCUCCACCUACAACCUCUUCCGGCAACCUGCACAGCCAGCUUCUGUCCUAUUGCCAUGUGGAAACCUUAGCGAGGACUGGAGAUACACACACACUAUGAUCUUUCAGUUAACAUGCAAACACAUUUAUACCUGCCUGGGCAGAUAGUUCUUCACAGACUUCAAGAUCUACCAGAAGAUGAUGGAGGGCCAUCAGGAUACCUUCCUUCUACACGAGUUGUGUACCAGAGAUGCUUCUUCCUCCUCCCCAUCCUGCACCUUCACCACCAACUCCUGCUCCUCUCCCAAACUGAGAGCGACCCUCCCUAUCUCAGUUCCACCAGCAGUUUCUCACCAAGCAGACUAAUGGAGGUGUGAAGAAUGCAGAGACGCUCCACCUGAGACUUUAGUGCCUCAUUUUUCCAGCCAUGCUCCCUAAAAAAGAUGACCAGUUUGCACUUUUACUGUUUACU